Molecule: non-coding RNA, 73 nt
Organism: Pristis pectinata (smalltooth sawfish)
Lineage: Eukaryota; Metazoa; Chordata; Chondrichthyes; Rhinopristiformes; Pristidae
Source: the annotation of a RefSeq genome assembly
GCCCGACUAGUUCAGUCGGUAGAGCAUGAAACUCUUAAUAUCAGGGCCGUGGGUUCGAGCCCCAAGUUGGGCG